UGAGUAACACGUAUGCAACCUGCCUGCCACAGCCGGAUAAUCGGGAGAAAUUCCGUCUAAUACGGCAUAAUGCAUCGACGGGACAUCCUGUUGGUGCCAAAGGUUGACUCCGGUGGCGGAUGGGCAUGCGUCGCAUUAGUUAGUUGGCGGUGUAACGGACCACCAAGACGACGAUGCGUAGGGGUUCUGAGAGGAAGGUCCCCCACACUGGUACUGAGACACGGACCAGACUCCUACGGGAGGCAGCAG
Molecule: ribosomal RNA, 249 nt
Filed under: uncultured bacterium
Lineage: Bacteria
Description: partial 16S ribosomal RNA
Rfam family: Bacterial small subunit ribosomal RNA
Source: RNAcentral